This is a long non-coding RNA of Lagopus leucura (white-tailed ptarmigan), 613 nucleotides long. RefSeq lists it as uncharacterized. Lineage: Eukaryota; Metazoa; Chordata; Aves; Galliformes; Phasianidae. The transcript is spliced from 4 exons. The record is from RefSeq and is a predicted model, not a curated record.
CAAAGGAAGUCCACAGCUUCUCCCCUGGACUAGGCAGCUACAUGUGAUUUAACUUGUGUAAUCUGGGACUCAUCCGUAUGGGAAAUUUCCUGUCACAGAAACAGAGGUGAUGCUGGAGAACUGCUUGUAGGUACAGCAUAGGAAGAGCAGGCAAUAGGUGGAAGAGGAAUAAAGGAAAGGCUAAAGAGAUUUUUCUCCUGGAAGCGCAUGUAGUCUCUGGAGUCAGUCAGUGAUGAGGGGUGAUGGCUGCAUCCCCUUGACUUAAAGCUUGUUUAACUUUCCUGCUGUGGAGCUGAUGUUAGUCUGCAGAUAAUCUACCACAUCCUAUCUGCCUCAUGCUGAUCCACUUGCUGUCAGGUGAACAGGUCCUAUCUUGGGCAGCCCUUGUGCAGGAUGUGUACCUAUGUUGGGCAGUCCCCCUGUGCCUCUGCACGCUGCACACCCCUCCUGCAGCCUAUGGGAGAUUGAGAGAGAGCUAAUUCCAUGCAGGUAGGAACCAGCUGCUGCAGCAUUUUCUUUUUUAAGCAUAGGCCUGAAGCUGUGGCUUAUGUAGUGCCUUGCACAACCAGAAGAUUUAAACCUGCUUUUUGUUCUUUGAUUUUAAAGAAAUAAG